This 464-nucleotide ribosomal RNA is filed under the name Frankliniella sp. D87. Its description in RNAcentral is "eukaryotic LSU rRNA". The record is from RNAcentral. Lineage: Eukaryota; Metazoa; Arthropoda; Insecta; Thysanoptera; Thripidae.
GAAAAGAACUUUGAAGAGAGAGUUCAAGAGUACGUGAAACUGAAGUGGUGUAAACGGACGAGUUCGAAAAGUCCGAAUGGUGAGAUUCAAGCUUACCGUGCCGGUGGCCCUUGGGUUCAGAUGGCGUCGUCAGCUCGGGCUUCGGUUCGGGUCAUACGGCGUCACUCGUCCUGGGGGUAUCUGUCUGGUGCGGUGGGCUGCACUUCUCGCCUAGUAGGACGUCGCGACCCGUUGGGAUGUUCCGUUCACUGGCCCCUGGUGGAGCCCGCGCCGGAGCGUGGCCUUGUGCCGCGUUGCUGUUUGCACGGACCCGGGGUGACCUGAUCGGCGCCCGACGGUAUCAAAGCUUGGGAAGAGGCCGCACAGAGGAUGCGUUCGAUGGCCGUUUCGGCCUACACUCGGACAGGCCUGCACCCGGUCAGCGGCGCUUCUGCUUUCGAUACUCGUCCGACCCGUCUUGAAAC